RNAcentral lists this ribosomal RNA (570 nucleotides) under Vibrio sp. RNAcentral's name for it is "bacterial SSU rRNA". It matches the Rfam family "Bacterial small subunit ribosomal RNA", at positions 887 to 1455 of the family's 1533-position model. Lineage: Bacteria; Pseudomonadati; Pseudomonadota; Gammaproteobacteria; Vibrionales; Vibrionaceae. The record is from RNAcentral.
CGCAAGAUUAAAACUCAAAUGAAUUGACGGGGGCCCGCACAAGCGGUGGAGCAUGUGGUUUAAUUCGAUGCAACGCGAAGAACCUUACCUACUCUUGACAUCCAGAGAACUUUCCAGAGAUGGAUUGGUGCCUUCGGGAACUCUGAGACAGGUGCUGCAUGGCUGUCGUCAGCUCGUGUUGUGAAAUGUUGGGUUAAGUCCCGCAACGAGCGCAACCCUUAUCCUUGUUUGCCAGCGAGUAAUGUCGGGAACUCCAGGGAGACUGCCGGUGAUAAACCGGAGGAAGGUGGGGACGACGUCAAGUCAUCAUGGCCCUUACGAGUAGGGCUACACACGUGCUACAAUGGCGCAUACAGAGGGCGGCCAACUUGCGAAAGUGAGCGAAUCCCAAAAAGUGCGUCGUAGUCCGGAUUGGAGUCUGCAACUCGACUCCAUGAAGUCGGAAUCGCUAGUAAUCGUGGAUCAGAAUGCCACGGUGAAUACGUUCCCGGGCCUUGUACACACCGCCCGUCACACCAUGGGAGUGGGCUGCAAAAGAAGUAGGUAGUUUAACCUUCGGGGGGGACGCUU